RNAcentral lists this unclassified non-coding RNA (363 nucleotides) under uncultured bacterium. RNAcentral's name for it is "contains 16S-23S intergenic spacer region". The record is from RNAcentral.
UCCCCGUUACCGAGGCAGUCUGACUAGAUAUAUACAACUAGCCACGAGGGUUGCGCUCGUUGAAGGACUUAACCUAACAUCUCACGACACGAGCUGACGACAGCCAUGCAUCACCUGUCACCGAGUUCCUUGCGGCACGGCCCGGUUUCCCGGGCUUUCUCGGGAUGUCAAACCUUGGUAAGGUUCUUCGCGUAUCUUCGAAUUAAACCACACGCUCCACCGCUUGUGCGGGUCCCCGUCAAUUCCUUUGAGUUUUAAGCUUGCGCUCGUACUCCCCAGGCGGGAUGCUUAACGCGUUAGCUUCGCUACCGAGCCGGUCGAUAGGCCCAACAGCUAGCAUCCAUCGUUUACGGCGUGGACUAC